AUUGGUGAGUUCUUGAUUUAGAACCAUGAUCCAACUUCUAAGAAAGUGCCUCUAUAUUUUCCAGCUCAAGGUGAUUCCUCAAAGUGUCAAGAAUCUUGUUCUAUGUGGCUAUUGGAAUCACAUCAUGUGGUAUCAUGAGUCUUAGGUUCAUUCUUGUUUAAUUGUUGAGUUGUGUGCACUUUAUUUCAAGAGCUCUUUU
Molecule: long non-coding RNA, 199 nt
Filed under: Phaseolus vulgaris (common bean)
Lineage: Eukaryota; Viridiplantae; Streptophyta; Magnoliopsida; Fabales; Fabaceae
Description: long non-coding RNA (PVUL_LNC004405)
Source: RNAcentral